GUGUCAGCCGCCGCGGUAAUACGGUAGGGGGCAAGCGUUAUCCGGAUUUACUGGGUGUAAAAGGGAGCGUAGACGGCGCGGCAAGUCUGAAGUGAAAGACCCGGGGCUUAACCCCGGGACUGCUUUGGAAACUGCCAUGCUGGAGUGCUGGAGAGGUAAGUGGAAUUCCUAGGUGUAGCGGUGAAAUGCGUAGAUAUUAGGAAGGAACACCAGUGGCGAAGGCGGCUUACUGGACAGUAACUGACGUUGAGGACUCGAAGGCGGUGGGGGAGCGAAACAGGAUUACGAUACCCCGGUAGUCCACGCCGUAAACGAUGAAUACUAGGUGUCGGGGCCGUAGAGGCUUCGGUGCCGCAGCAAACGCAUUAAGUAUUCCACCUGGGGA
This 385-nucleotide ribosomal RNA is filed under the name uncultured bacterium. RNAcentral describes it as "bacterial SSU rRNA". It matches the Rfam family "Bacterial small subunit ribosomal RNA", at positions 505 to 879 of the family's 1533-position model. The record is from RNAcentral.